This 253-nucleotide ribosomal RNA is filed under the name uncultured bacterium. RNAcentral describes it as "partial 16S ribosomal RNA". It matches the Rfam family "Bacterial small subunit ribosomal RNA", at positions 524 to 776 of the family's 1533-position model. The record is from RNAcentral.
UACGGAGGAGGCAAGCGUUAUCCGGAUUUAUUGGGCGUAAAGAGCGUGCAGGUGGUUUGGAAAGUUGGGUAUGAAAUCUCCUGGCUUAACUGGGAGAGGUUGCUCAAAACUACCAGACUAGAGGACGGUAGAGGAAGGUGGAAUUCCCGGUGUAGUAGUGAAAUGCGUAGAUAUCGGGAGGAACACCAGUGGCGAAGGCGGCCUUCUGGGCCGUUCCUGACACUCAGACGCGAAAGCAUGGGGAGCAAACGGG